UGAGUCAGCUCAUAGGAGGCCACGGAUCCUACAGGAGAGAAAACGGGAGAGAAAAGGCUUGAAACUGAGGAGCUGAACUCCAAGUAAAUCUUCCCACGUGCCUGGCCUGGACACAGAUCCAGGGAUGAAAGAGCCCUAAGGCAGUUAUGAUGUCCUGCCCAUGUGGCCAUUCCUUGUCCUGCGUGGAGAUGGCCAGGGACUGACUUACAAUGGCGACUGAGGGAUUAUUCUGAGAUCUAAGGUGACACCGUAAGGCUGGCACACAUGCAGGGACCUGCCAUUGCUUCUGAGUGGUGCUUUCCACAAUCAAACUUCACCCUUGUCAUGUGCACACGGAGUGUUGAAAGACUCAGGAGAUGCUGUCCCUGAUUCCCUGGUCUGCAGACUGCUGGUG
RNAcentral lists this long non-coding RNA (394 nucleotides) under Homo sapiens (human). Its description in RNAcentral is "HSALNT0405113". Lineage: Eukaryota; Metazoa; Chordata; Mammalia; Primates; Hominidae. The record is from RNAcentral.